UACUGAGGGUGCGUGCGUUAAUCGGAAUUACUGGGCGUAAAGCGCGCGUAGGCGGCGUGAUAAGCCGCUUGUGAAAGCCCCGGGCUCAACCGGGGAACGGCAUCCGGAACUGUCAAGCUAGAAUACAGGAGAGGAAGGUAGAAUUCCCGGUGUAGCGGUGAAAUGCGUAGAGAUCGGGAGGAAUACCAGUGGCGAAGGCGGCCUUCUGGACUGAUACUGACACUGAGGUGCGAAAGCGUGGGUAGCAAACAGG
Molecule: unclassified non-coding RNA, 253 nt
Filed under: uncultured Halomonadaceae bacterium
Lineage: Bacteria; Pseudomonadati; Pseudomonadota; Gammaproteobacteria; Oceanospirillales; Halomonadaceae
Description: contains 16S-23S intergenic spacer region
Rfam family: Bacterial small subunit ribosomal RNA
Source: RNAcentral